RNAcentral lists this long non-coding RNA (536 nucleotides) under Volvox carteri. RNAcentral's name for it is "long non-coding RNA (VCAR_LNC001945)". Lineage: Eukaryota; Viridiplantae; Chlorophyta; Chlorophyceae; Chlamydomonadales; Volvocaceae. The record is from RNAcentral.
AGGAGGAGGAAGGCUGAAAAGGCCGAUUUCAGCGGGCCCGUGCCGAGCUCCGCCAGAGUCUCACUCAGACGCCUCGCAAGCCUCUGGCGCUGCUGGUGCUGCCCCUGUUCCGGCGACGGGGCCACGCACGCCUGCCGGUGGUGGUGGUGUACAUGGCAGCAGCGGCGGCACGUGCGAAGUACGUUCGGAGAUAGUGGUUUGAAAUGUGUAAUGAUGAUAAUCCUGUCUGACUCGACACAGGGAUGAGCUUUAUCCGCCCGCGCACAAACCCUAACCCUCUGCUUUUACCCACCCACUCACAUCCACGAUAUCCAGUCGUACUUUCCUGUAUGUCUGUUUCAAUGUCUAUCUAGUCAGCAGUCAUCCAUAUACACGUUCUAUUGAAUGCAUGUAUAUUGUUUCGCGUAUUCAUAGACCCGCCCAUUAUUGCCCGCUCAGGAUGGCCUCCAGACUUCAGCUACAGCCGCUACGGCCGCGGUCGCUACCGCCGAUAAUCCGCAGCUGGCCGAGGCGCUGUUGCUGCACGCGGGCUUGGG